GACGAACGCUGGCGGCGUGCUUAACACAUGCAAGUCGAGCGGUAAGGCCCUUUCGGGGGUACGACGAGCGGCGAACGGGUGAGUAACACGUGGGUGACCUGCCCUUACGCUCUGGGAUAAGCCUGGGAAACUGGGUCUAAUACCGGAUAUGACUCCAUGACGCAUGUUGUGGGGUGGAAAGCCUUGUGCGGCUAGGGAUGGGCCUGCGGCCUAUCAGCUUGUUGGUGGGGUGANGGCCUACCAAGGCGACGACGGGUAGCCGGCCUGAGAGGGCGACCGGCCACACUGGGAC
This 292-nucleotide ribosomal RNA is filed under the name uncultured bacterium. Its description in RNAcentral is "partial 16S ribosomal RNA". It matches the Rfam family "Bacterial small subunit ribosomal RNA", at positions 28 to 319 of the family's 1533-position model. The record is from RNAcentral.